Molecule: ribosomal RNA, 2092 nt
Filed under: Pseudomonas aeruginosa
Lineage: Bacteria; Pseudomonadati; Pseudomonadota; Gammaproteobacteria; Pseudomonadales; Pseudomonadaceae
Description: bacterial LSU rRNA
Rfam family: Bacterial large subunit ribosomal RNA
Source: RNAcentral
CUCCUCGAAAGACUAUCUUAAGGUAGCGCUCCUCAUAGUACUCACUCUGGGGGUAGAGCACUGUUUCGGCUAGGGGGUCAUCCCGACUUACCAAACCGAUGCAAACUCCGAAUACCCAGAAGUGCCGAGCAUGGGAGACACACGGCGGGUGCUAACGUCCGUCGUGAAAAGGGAAACAACCCAGACCGCCAGCUAAGGUCCCAAAGUUGUGGUUAAGUGGUAAACGAUGUGGGAAGGCUUAGACAGCUAGGAGGUUGGCUUAGAAGCAGCCAUCCUUUAAAGAAAGCGUAAUAGCUCACUAGUCGAGUCGGCCUGCGCGGAAGAUGUAACGGGGCUCAAACCACACACCGAAGCUGCGGGUGUCACGUAAGUGACGCGGUAGAGGAGCGUUCUGUAAGCCUGUGAAGGUGAGUUGAGAAGCUUGCUGGAGGUAUCAGAAGUGCGAAUGCUGACAUGAGUAACGACAAUGGUGUGAAAACACCCACGCCGAAAGACCAAGGGUUCCUGCGCAACGUUAAUCGACGCAGGGUUAGUCGGUUCCUAAGGCGAGGCUGAAAAGCGUAGUCGAUGGGAAACAGGUUAAUAUUCCUGUACUUCUGGUUACUGCGAUGGAGGGACGGAGAAGGCUAGGCCAGCUUGGCGUUGGUUGUCCAAGUUUAAGGUGGUAGGCUGAAAUCUUAGGUAAAUCCGGGGUUUCAAGGCCGAGAGCUGAUGACGAGUCGUCUUUAGAUGACGAAGUGGUUGAUGCCAUGCUUCCAAGAAAAGCUUCUAAGCUUCAGGUAACCAGGAACCGUACCCCAAACCGACACAGGUGGUCGGGUAGAGAAUACCAAGGCGCUUGAGAGAACUCGGGUGAAGGAACUAGGCAAAAUGGCACCGUAACUUCGGGAGAAGGUGCGCCGGCUAGGGUGAAGGAUUUACUCCGUAAGCUCUGGCUGGUCGAAGAUACCAGGCCGCUGCGACUGUUUAUUAAAAACACAGCACUCUGCAAACACGAAAGUGGACGUAUAGGGUGUGACGCCUGCCCGGUGCCGGAAGGUUAAUUGAUGGGGUUAGCGCAAGCGAAGCUCUUGAUCGAAGCCCCGGUAAACGGCGGCCGUAACUAUAACGGUCCUAAGGUAGCGAAAUUCCUUGUCGGGUAAGUUCCGACCUGCACGAAUGGCGUAACGAUGGCGGCGCUGUUCCACCCGAGACUCAGUGAAAUUGAAAUCGCUGUGAAGAUGCAGUGUAUCCGCGGCUAGACGGGAAGACCCCGUGAACCUUUACUGUAGCUUUGCACUGGACUUUGAGCCUGCUUGUGUAGGAUAGGUGGGAGGCUUUGAAGCGUGGACGCCAGUUCGCGUGGAGCCAUCCUUGAAAUACCACCCUGGCAUGCUUGAGGUUCUAACUCUGGUCCGUGAUCCGGAUCGAGGACAGUGUAUGGUGGGCAGUUUGACUGGGGCGGUCUCCUCCUAAAGAGUAACGGAGGAGUACGAAGGUGCGCUCAGACCGGUCGGAAAUCGGUCGCAGAGUAUAAAGGCAAAAGCGCGCUUGACUGCGAGACAGACACGUCGAGCAGGUACGAAAGUAGGUCUUAGUGAUCCGGUGGUUCUGUAUGGAAGGGCCAUCGCUCAACGGAUAAAAGGUACUCCGGGGAUAACAGGCUGAUACCGCCCAAGAGUUCAUAUCGACGGCGGUGUUUGGCACCUCGAUGUCGGCUCAUCACAUCCUGGGGCUGAAGCCGGUCCCAAGGGUAUGGCUGUUCGCCAUUUAAAGUGGUACGCGAGCUGGGUUUAGAACGUCGUGAGACAGUUCGGUCCCUAUCUGCCGUGGACGUUUGAGAUUUGAGAGGGGCUGCUCCUAGUACGAGAGGACCGGAGUGGACGAACCUCUGGUGUUCCGGUUGUCACGCCAGUGGCAUUGCCGGGUAGCUAUGUUCGGAAAAGAUAACCGCUGAAAGCAUCUAAGCGGGAAACUUGCCUCAAGAUGAGAUCUCACUGGGAACUUGAUUCCCCCUGAAGGGCCGUCGAAGACUACGACGUUGAUAGGCUGGGUGUGUAAGCGUUGUGAGGCGUUGAGCUAACCAGUACUAAUUGCCCGUGAGGCUUGACCA